GAUGAACGCUGGCGGCGUGCCUAAUACAUGCAAGUCGAGCGAACAGACGAGGAGCUUGCUCCUCUCACGUUAGCGGCGGGCGUGUGAGUCACACGUGUAUCCCCUCCCUAUCUUACUGGUAUAUCUUCGGGAAACCGGCGCUUAUACCGGAUAAUAUCUUGCACCGCAUGGUUCAAUAGAGAAUGACGGUUUUGCUGUCACUUAUAGCUGGAUCUGCGCUGCAUUAGCUAGUUGUUAAGUUCACGGCUUACCACGGCAACGAUGCGUAGCCGACCUGAGGGGGGGGUCGGCCACACUGGAGCUGGGACACGGACCAGACGCCUACGGGAGGCAGCAGUAGGGAAUCGUCCGCAGUAGGCGGGAGCCUUGCGGAGCAAGGCCGCGUGAGUGAUGGAGGUCUUCGGAUCGGAAAACUCUGUUAUUAGGGAAGAACAGAUGUGGAAGGAACUAUACACGGCUUGACGGUACCGGAUCAGAAAGCACCGGCUAACUACGUG
RNAcentral lists this ribosomal RNA (497 nucleotides) under uncultured bacterium. Its description in RNAcentral is "partial 16S ribosomal RNA". It matches the Rfam family "Bacterial small subunit ribosomal RNA", at positions 28 to 507 of the family's 1533-position model. The record is from RNAcentral.